AUUGAAUCGAUACAAUCAUGUGACGAUUGAAAUAUGGGAGGUGCUACAUUAAAUGUUCCUUUCCAGACAAGGCCGCGUUUUUAUAGACGCGUGCACUAGAGUCCGUUAGGGUACAUAGUU
This 120-nucleotide small nucleolar RNA is filed under the name Bombyx mori (domestic silkworm). Its description in RNAcentral is "Bm_85". Lineage: Eukaryota; Metazoa; Arthropoda; Insecta; Lepidoptera; Bombycidae. The record is from RNAcentral.